This 497-nucleotide ribosomal RNA is filed under the name uncultured bacterium. Its description in RNAcentral is "partial 16S ribosomal RNA". It matches the Rfam family "Bacterial small subunit ribosomal RNA", at positions 28 to 507 of the family's 1533-position model. The record is from RNAcentral.
GAUGAACGCUGGCGGCGUGCCUAAUACAUGCAAGUCGAGCGAACAGACGAGGAGCUUGCUCCCCUGACGUUAGCGGCGGACGUGUGAGUAACACGUGGAUAACCUACCUAUAAGACUGGGAUAACUUCGGGAAACCGGAUCUAAUACCGGGUGAUAUAUUGAACCGCAUGGUUCAAUAGUGAAAGACGGUUUUGCUGUCACUUAUAGAUGGUUCCCGGUCGCAUUAGCUAGUUGGUAAGGUAACGGCUUACCAAGGCAACGAUGCGUAGCCGACCUGAGAGGGUGAUCGGCCACACUGGAACUGAGACACGGUCCAGACUCCUACGGGAGGCAGCAGUAGGGAAUCUUCCGCAAUGGGCGAAAGCCUGACGGAGCAACGCCGCGUGAGUGAUGAAGGUCUUCGGAUCGUAAAACUCUGUUAUUAGGGAAGAACAAAUGUGUAAGUAACUAUGCACGUCUUGACGGUACCUAAUCAGAAAGCCACGGCUAACUACGUG